This is a non-coding RNA of Elaeis guineensis (African oil palm), 1693 nucleotides long. The record is from RefSeq and is a predicted model, not a curated record. Lineage: Eukaryota; Viridiplantae; Streptophyta; Magnoliopsida; Arecales; Arecaceae.
UCGCAGCCCGAGGCGUAGCCGUGGUGUGAUCUAGUUUUUUCCCUUCCCAUCCUCUAAGCCCUAAACCCUAGACGCCGCCAUCCGUUGCCGGGGCAGGUCGAAGCCCUCGACUCUCUUCCAUUGAAGUCGGUAAAAGGAUGCUGAUGAUGACAAAUCCUAAGGCUUGUUUCUCAAAACAUUCGCAGUGGCCACCUAAGAGCUUUCGCCUUGCCGGGCUUGAGAGCUUGUGCUGCUCAAAUUUCCUUCCUUGGAUGUCUGAGGCUAUUGGCAACUACAAAUUUUGUGUUAUUUGGCAUUGGUUUUUAACUUUCUGGUGGAAGUCCUAUCUGUUGAUGUGGAUAAUUUUCUUCGCUAUAUUUGAUUUGAGUGUUGGCCACGGCCAGGAUUGAAUUGGAAAUGUUGAUAUAUACUUGUGCUUGAUGGGCCACGCUUUGGAUAAUAUUUGCAUUUUCUAAUCAACUUUGUUUUCUUCUUAAGUCUUUUGUUAUUAUUCUCUUGUUUUGAGUUCUGUAAAUUUUUUUGCGUUCUUGUCCGUGAUUACUUGGUUCCAUUCUGUCAAUGUUAACGGUUGUUGUCUGAAAGCUUGAUUAGAUACUGACAACUUCGGGACUACACGUCUGCCCCUCUGGCUUUCUCAUUUUUAGCCUUUGGGAUGAAUCAGUCCCUUGUAUCUAUUCUCCCUUGCGCUUCACCAUGUCAGCCAUCUUUACUUCUGGUUUUUGCUGACAAAUUUUUAGGGGAUAUAUGAUUGAUUUAUGAUACUUUCUGCUGCAUGAGUUACAUUGUUUUUUUUUUUUUUUUUUAAAAAACAUUAUGUGGGAGUUUGUUUUGGCGUUUUUAUACAACAUGUUAUCCUCAAAGUUGAGCACUAGGGCUUUCUUGUUUUAAUCUGAGUGCCAAAUUUUCAUUCUCAUUGACAGUUUUUGUAGACAAUUCAUGCUUCUUUUCUUUGAACGAAUCUUGUUUCAAGUCGUGGCUGAGUAAAUGAGUGUUACCUACAUGAGCAUAAUGGCCUUAGUAGAUUAAAUCUAAUGGAAACUUGCUUCAGUUAGUGAUCAAGUAUAAAUUGCAUAGAUUAUUCUUUUGCCAGUUUUUUUUUCUGUAAUUGAAUAAUUUGCGAAUAUUUUUUUCUUUAUGUUUGGAACUGCAAUAUCACCUUUUCCCAUUAGGCAGGUUUGCUAUGGGUAUCAAAAUUUGUUAUCAGUUUAUUGACAAUAUCAUGAUGUUUGAUUGCUGCCGGUUGUAGGUUUGUGGAUCCGAGUUGUUAUUUGUUCGCACAGCCAAUCUUGCCUGACGAGGUUGAGCAUGUAUCAUUUCAGGUGUGUUGUCCUGAAUGGACAGCACCAGCUUUCAUCAUUGAUACCUUAUGAUAUCUAAGAAUCUUCGUGUGCAUCUGUCUACAGGUUACUAGAGAAUUGUUUUUUAAGAGUCUAGCAAGGUUUCGUUGAUCAUGUAAGAUGCUUUGGAUUUUGGUUUCAACUUUUCUGCUCGCGAUAUUAUUAGCAUAGAAUAGAUCACUUUCUGGUUGUUCUUAUGAGCAGAAUUGUUUCGUUGUUUUUGUGUUUUAGUGAUGGACGUUGUCGAUUCUGUGUAAUAUGAGAAUAAGCGUUUAGUUUUCUUUAUUAUUUAACAGCAAUAUUGCUUGGUGAACGUUUAACGCAAAUAAAGGGUGGGUGAUCAGGCGUUUCUCUUU